This 105-nucleotide transfer RNA is filed under the name Streptomyces chryseus. Its description in RNAcentral is "tRNA-Arg". The record is from RNAcentral. Lineage: Bacteria; Bacillati; Actinomycetota; Actinomycetes; Kitasatosporales; Streptomycetaceae.
GUCAUGCAGUGGGCGAUGGAGGUGACGUUCCCCGCGCCUCCGACGAGCGGAAGGAUCGCGGCGGCGGUGGCGUGGUUCUUGUUCUCUGUCAUGGUGCGUGGUGCC